This is a long non-coding RNA of Sycon ciliatum, 158 nucleotides long. RefSeq lists it as uncharacterized. The transcript has 3 exons. The record is from RefSeq and is a predicted model, not a curated record. NCBI's taxonomy places the organism in Eukaryota, Metazoa, Porifera, Calcarea, Leucosolenida, Sycettidae.
GCUGAGACCUCCUUUCGCGGAAUAUUACUCAAUGACAGUGUGCGAAGAACGCGAGUUCCCCUUCUCGACGAAAAUCGUGGACUAACAGUUUGAAGUCAUUGAACUACUUCCAAGAGUUGUAUCGACAUCAACAGGAUUACGAUUUCAGUGCAAUAUGA